This is a long non-coding RNA of Homo sapiens (human), 263 nucleotides long. The record is from Ensembl. Lineage: Eukaryota; Metazoa; Chordata; Mammalia; Primates; Hominidae.
GGCACUGCCCCUGGGCCCGAGGUGUGCACCAGUAAAAGCCCUUUUACACUCGAAGGCUGCCAACAAAAUAACAUGCUGCAGUAACUGCCUCUGAUGAGAGGAGCUUCUGCUUCAGUUGUUGCAAUUGAGCAGUGACCCUUGCUGAUAAACCUGUGGAUUUUGGUAUCUGUGGGAGGUCCCAGAACAAAUCCCCCAUGGGCAUCAAGGGAAAACUGUCUAUGGUACCACUAUGAUGUCUUAUAGGCUAUGUCAAGCUUGUGAAA